GAAAAGAGGGUGAAAAGAACCUGAAACCGUCACGGGGGAAGCGGAUUGCGUUGGAUUGAUGGGAUUGCAUGUGUUCAGCCCUUUUUUGGGUGCAUUGACAUGGAAUUUUAUUCGCCGUGGGUUUUUUGGGAAUGGAUUUUGCAUUCCUAUAGACUGAGGGCUCCCUUCGGGUUGAGGACGGCGAAGUGACGACGCGAUACGACCCGUCUUGAAACACGGACCAAGGAGUCUAGCGCGAUUGCGAGUCUAAGGGUGCUGAAACCUGAUGGCGCAGUGAAAGCGAGUCUAAAAACGAGCAGUUUGAGGCGGCAUAAAAUCGUUGAUUUUAAGUCCGACCUAGAGCAAUUGCGCUGGGACCCGAAAGAUGGUGAACUAUGCCGGAGUAGGGCGAAGCCAGAGGAAACUCUGGUGGAGGCUCGUAGCGGUGCUGACGUGCAAAUCGCUCGUCCAACUUGGGUAUAGGGGCGAAAGACUAAUCGAACCAUCUAGUAGCUGGUUCCCUCCGAAGUUUCUCUCAGGAUAGCGGGCCGACUUGUUGUUGUUCUGUGUGGUAAAGCGAAUGAUUAGCGUAAUUGGGGACAUUUGGUCUUCGGGCGAUUCUCAAACUUUAAAUACGCAGGGGUGUCGCUGCUUUGUUGAGCGGCACCGGUAAAAACGUCGGCCCUGUGGGCCACUUUUGGUAAGCAGAACUGGCGAUACGGGAU
RNAcentral lists this ribosomal RNA (704 nucleotides) under Calliblepharis jubata. RNAcentral describes it as "eukaryotic LSU rRNA". It matches the Rfam family "Eukaryotic large subunit ribosomal RNA", at positions 378 to 1164 of the family's 3401-position model. Lineage: Eukaryota; Rhodophyta; Florideophyceae; Gigartinales; Cystocloniaceae. The record is from RNAcentral.